UACGUAGGGUGCGAGCGUUAAUCGGAAUUACUGGGCGUAAAGUGUGCGCAGGUAGCCGCGCAAGUCGAGUGUGAAAUCCCCGAGCUUAACUUGGGAAUUGCGCUCGAAACUACGUGGCUCGAGUGUGGCAGAGGAAGGUGGAAUUCCACGUGUAGCGGUGAAAUGCGUAGAGAUGUGGAGGAACACCGAUGGCGAAGGCAGCCUUCUGGGCCAACACUGACGCUCAUGCACGAAAGCGUGGGGAGCAAACAGG
RNAcentral lists this ribosomal RNA (253 nucleotides) under uncultured bacterium. Its description in RNAcentral is "partial 16S ribosomal RNA". It matches the Rfam family "Bacterial small subunit ribosomal RNA", at positions 524 to 776 of the family's 1533-position model. The record is from RNAcentral.